This is a long non-coding RNA of Stylophora pistillata, 1229 nucleotides long. Lineage: Eukaryota; Metazoa; Cnidaria; Anthozoa; Scleractinia; Pocilloporidae. The record is from RefSeq and is a predicted model, not a curated record.
AAAGAUCUACAAUAACAACUAAAAAGUUUCCGAAAGGAAUACUCUGCGCUUGCUGGCUAAAAAAAUGAUUGUUUUCACUCGUGACUACAUCGUCAACAUCAUUUUACUCAAAACUAAUCCGAACAUAAAGAGGUGUUGAUACUCCUCUUACAACUUACUUUGACUUUCUGUUUCUGCAGAUAUUUGUAAUUACGUCUCGGAAAAGAUACCAGUUCUUUUUCGACAAAGAAGUAAAAUACCAAUGGAAUACUAUCUCUCAUGAGUAUUACGGUACAUAACUGUGUUGUACGAGACCAAAUUGUCAACAGAGAAUUCUCUCUUGAAGGGCUUAGUCCUACAAACGCUUUACGCCGAAGUCCAUGCCAGGAAUAUAAAUUUCUCCAAUGACUAGGUGUAUUUUUACUCUUCCUAAACGUGAUGCUCAUCCAUAGAAUGGUACAGUAACCCCAACAAUUUGUCCAGUUGCUGGAAACCAUAUAUACACUCUGAUGCUCAGCCAACAUGCUAUAUGGAGUUCGAUCCUGGGAAAAUCUUGGGUGGAAAUUUUAAGAAUUACCAAGGGAAACGGUAAAGUGUCUUUCCCAACAACGCAAAAAUUUGAUUUUCUCAGAGUUUAGGCACCAUCCGAGACCUUCCCCUCCAAAAUCAUUUCGUAACUGCGUCACCUCACGAUCCCCUUGUUAAUCAGUUGGUAUAAUUAAUAAUAAUGAUUGUGACAUUCAUGAUUAAUAGUGACAGUAAUGGUUUAAUUUUGAGAUCGCGUGAUAGCUGAAGGCGUGCCGUCAAUUUGCUGAUAUAAUACAUGGGUGUUUUCUUUCUUCUUCAGUAAACUGUAGGAAAGGUUUUAAAAAGGCAUCAAAUGGGAAAUGUGUCGACAUCGACGAAUGCAGUCUGGAGUCUGGUGGCUGUGCGGACAAAGUUGCCACGUGUCAAAAUAACUUUGGCUCAUACACAUGUACUUGUCCUCUAGGGUACAGGACAAACUAUAAAAACCGCUGUGAAGAUGUGGAUGAAUGUCGAUCAAACAAUGGCGACUGUGAUGAGGAUUGUAUAAACACUGAUGGCUCAUUUCAUUGCGCAUGUCGACGCAGUGGCCUUCGAGUCGUCGAUGGUUACCGCUGUGCAGAUAUUGACGAGUGUCAAGAAGGAAAGGACGACUGUGACAAGACGACAACUACGUGUAGCAAUUACCCAGGUCAUUUCCAGUGUAAAUGUAAACCGGGAUGCGA